UUUACUUUCAUCUGUUUUUAGUAUCAGACUACUGUCCCCUGUGCUCAGCCUGAUUCUGUUCCUCAUUACACUGGAGUUGGUCAAUGUUCAUGCUGUUUGUGGAAAGAAUGCGCAUGAGUAUCAGCAGUACCUAAAGUUUGUAAAGUCGAUCUUGCAGUACACUGAGAACCUGGUGGCUUACACCCAUUACGGAAAGAACAACUGGAAUGAAACUAUCAAUCUUACACAUACAACUUUGUUGAAAAUUUGGACUUUUAGUGAGAAGAAACAAAUGUUAAUACGUUUAGCCAAGAAAUCCACAAGUAAAGUACUCAUGAAAACCUAUA
Non-coding RNA from Chlorocebus sabaeus (green monkey), 326 nucleotides. The record is from RefSeq and is a predicted model, not a curated record. NCBI's taxonomy places the organism in Eukaryota, Metazoa, Chordata, Mammalia, Primates, Cercopithecidae.